CCUACGGGAGGCAGCAGUGGGGAAUAUUGCACAAUGGGGGAAACCCUGAUGCAGCGACGCCGCGUGAGUGAAGAAGUAUUUCGGUACGUAAAGCUCUAUCAGCAGGGAAGAAAAUGACGGUACCUGACUAAGAAGCCCCGGCUAACUACGUGCAAGCAGCCGCGGUAAUACGUAGGGGGCAAGCGUUAUCCGGAUUUACUGGGUGUAAAGGGAGCGUAGACGGCAGCGCAAGUCUGGAGUGAAAUCCCAUGGCUUAACCAUGGAACUGCUUUGGAAACUGUGCAGCUAGAGUGCAGGAGAGGUAAGCGGAAUUCCUAGUGUAGCGGUGAAAUGCGUAGAUAUUAGGAGGAACACCAGUGGCGAAGGCGGCUUACUGGACUGUAACUGACGUUGAGGCUCGAAAGCGUGGGGAGCAAACAGGAUUAGAUACCCCUGUAGUC
This 440-nucleotide ribosomal RNA is filed under the name uncultured bacterium. RNAcentral describes it as "partial 16S ribosomal RNA". It matches the Rfam family "Bacterial small subunit ribosomal RNA", at positions 338 to 795 of the family's 1533-position model. The record is from RNAcentral.